ACACCGGCAGCUCUAGUGGUAACAAUUUUUAUUGGGCCUAAAGCGUCCGUAGCCGGUUUAAUAAGUCUCUGGUGAAAUCCUGCAGCUUAACUGUGGGAAUUGCUGGAGAUACUAUUAGACUUGAGACCGGGAGAGGUUAGAGGUACUCCCAGGGUAGAGGUGAAAUUCUGUAAUCCUGGGAGGACCGCCUGUUGCGAAGGCGUCUAACUGGAACGGUUCUGACGGUGAGGGACGAAAGUUAGGGGCGCGAACCGGAUGAGAUACCCGGGUAGUCCUAACUGUAAACGAUGCGGACUUGGUGUUGGGGUGGCUUUGAGCUGCUCCAGUGCCGAAGGGAAGCUGUUAAGUCCGCCGCCUGGGAAGUACGGUCGCAAGACGGAAACUCAAAGGAAUUGACGGGG
Molecule: ribosomal RNA, 401 nt
Filed under: uncultured bacterium
Lineage: Bacteria
Description: partial 16S ribosomal RNA
Rfam family: Archaeal small subunit ribosomal RNA
Source: RNAcentral